UAACAAGUCUAGCUGUGCUGAUGAGCUCCAGCUUAGGCCUUGAGGCAUAUGCCUUUAAUCUCAGCACUCUGGAGGCAGGCAGACCUCUGAGUUCAAGGCUAGCCAGAGCUACACAGAGAACCCCUGUCUCAAAAAAAAUAAAAUAAAAUAAAAUAAAAUAAAAUAAGAAAUAAAGUGGAAAGUAAUGAAGGAAGACACCUGAUACCAACUUCCGGCUUCCACAUGUGUGUGUACACAUGUGUGCGUGCACCCACACAUGUGUGAAAACGCACACACGUGGAUAAAGUAAUGGCCAGAAGGGAGGGAAUAAACCUCCUUCUCCCAACCAGGCUCUGCCUCCUAAACAUUCUACCACCUCCCAAAAUGGCACCACCAGCGAAGGACCAACCCUCCAGACCAGAGUCUGUGAGGGACACUUCUUAUUAAGCUGUAGCACUUCUUAUUAAACUGUGACAGGUUCUGGGGUUUGAAUCUGUGCAGAUCUGGCUAUGACUGUCUCACACUGUUCUCAGCUAAUGGGACAUGGCCCAGCUGUUUCUCAGGAGAUAGAACUAGAGCUGGGCAGUUGACAAUGGUAACUGGGUGGAGCUACUGCCAUUCUCUGAUGGGGGCUGUGGUUUGUCAUCUUGACACAAUCUUGAAUCACCAGGGAAAGGAGUCUCAAUGAGGGACUGUCGAAAUUAGGUUAACCUGUGGACCCGGAUGUGGGAGAUAAUCUUGAUUACGUCCACUGUGGGUGGCAUCAUUCCCUAGGCCAGGGGUGUGUGUGUGUGUCUCGCACUGUCUAAGAGUGCAGAAAGCAAGGUGAGCACCAGCAUGUGUGCAUGGAUUCAUUGCCCUCUGCUCUUGACUGUGAUGUGAUGACUGAUGGCUUCAAGUACCUGCCUUGACUUCCCCCAGAGUCAUGGCCUGACUGUUGCCUGGAAUUGCAAGCCUACUAAGCCCUUUCUCCUUUAAGUUGUUUUUGGCAGGGCAGGGCAGGGUACUUCAUCACAGAAACAGAAAUGGGACUAAGAUGGAGGAUGUCCUCAGACUUUAUGUGUAAGAGACUUGCUCACCAUAGUCAUGUGAGUGGCAUUUGGAGGUGGGGGUCUUAAGGAUGUAAUCAGGGUUAGGUGGGUCCCCAGAAUGACAUUAGUGACUUGGUAAGAAAGGAAAAGAAAUCAGAGUUAGCACAUUUGCUGUCUCACCAGAUGGCACCCAUGUUCAAAAGCCAGGUACGGCCAUACUCAUGCCUUUAACCCCAGUGCUAUGGAGGAUAGAGGCAGGACUACUGGGCCUUAUGGCCACCAGCCUCACUCCAGGUUCACUGAGAGACUCUUGUCUCAAGGGAAUAAGGCAGAGUGAUAGACCAUGACACCUGACAUCCUCCUCUGGCCUCCACAUGUACAUACACACACACACACAUAUACACAAAAGCCAAUAAGAAACCAGAUGAGGGAUGCAUGCCUCUAAAACCACUUCUUUGUGGCUUGACAGAAGGAUAAUAUUUCAGGGCCAGCCUCGGCUAUAUAUACCAGGCUAUGUAUGAACACCUGUCAAAAAACAAUCCAGGAAAAGAAAACACUGUCUUAGGGUUUGUUUUGCUGUGAUGAAACACCAUGACCAAAGCAACUCAUGGAGGAAAGAGUUUGGUUGACUUACACUUCUGCAUCCCUGUCCAUCACUGAGGGAAGCCAGGGCAGGAACUCAAACGGAGCAGGAACCUAGAGGUAGGAGCAGAUGCAGAGGCUGUGGAGGGGUGUUGCUUACUGGCUUGUUCACAUGGCUUGCUCAGCCUGUUUUUUCGUAGAACCCGGCCAUCAGCCCAAGGAUGGCACUGCCCACAGUGGGAGGAGCCUUCCCCAUUGAUCACUAAUUAAGAAGAUGUUCUGCGGGCUUGCUUAUAGCCUGGUCUUAUGGGGCCUUUUUUCUCUUCUCUUCUUCUCUUCUCUUCUCUUCUCUUCUCUUCUCUUCUCUUCUCUUCUCUUCUCUUCUCUUCUCUUCUUUUCUCGUCUCUUCUCUUCUCUUCUUUUCUUUCUUUCUUUUUUUUUGGUUGUUGUUUUAUUUUUGUUUUUUUCAAGAAAGAGUUUCUCUGUGUAGCCCUGGUUGUCCUGGAACUCACUGUGUAGACCAGGCUGGCCUCGAACUCACAGAGGUCGAACUCUACCUCCCGACCACCUGGCAUGGAGGCAUUUUCUUAAUUGUGGCUGCCUCCUCUCAGAUGAUUUUAGACUGCUCUUCCAGAGGUCCCGAGUUCAAUUCCAGCAGCCACAUGAUGGCACACAACCAUCUGUAAUGGCAUCCAAUACCCUCUUCUGGUGUGUCUGAAUAGAGUGACAGUGUACUCAUACACAUAAAUAAAUAACUCUUUAAAAAUAAGCUGUUCAGCGCAUACAUCAAAUAGAAGUCAGGUAAGAAGGAGACAGACAGUUCUACAAGGAAUUUGAUGACAUGGGUAUCAUUGUCAACUGCAGAAUGAGAGACAUUUGGGUUGAGUUGUGAGCACAAAGACUAGGCUGAGAAGAUAGUUGGGUGGUAGUGACUAUGACUGGGUGGCCUCUUCCUAGAGCUUGGCUCUGACAAGGACUGAAGAGGAAGUUGGCAGUGCCAGGGUGGGAAUGGAACGAUUAAUCAGAACACCACAGAUUGGGCAUUCCUCGAAUAAUAGGAAAUUAUCACCCACGGUUCUGGAGGCCGCAGCCUGAGGUUAGAGUUGAGCAGCACUUAGGUCCUUUGAGGUGAGUCUAGGCCUGCUCUGGGGGCCUCAGAGUUUCCGGCUUCUGGGUAACCUAUUCCUUGGCUUCCUCAUGGUCUUCCCUCAGCAUGCCUCUGUGUGCCUCCCCCUCUUUACUAGGCACAGUUGUCACUCUGGAUCAGGGCUCUACUCAACACCCCAUGUUAGCAUCGACUCCAUCGGCUAAGACCUCUUCUCCAAACACCAUCGUAGCCAUGGGAACUGAGGCUGGGCCUCCUGUCUUCUGGUGACACAGGCUGACACUAUCAGCAGGUGUGCUGUCCCCUCUUGCAAGUUGGGGAAACUUUGGUUGUUUCUUAAUGCUGUCCUGAAGGAGCCCACAGAAGGCUGGGGGGGGGGGUGUUGUUGAAGACUGCCGGUCACCUUAGGGGACAGCUCAAGGCAGAGGCCCAGGCCUCUGCACUUACAGGAAGGAAGAAAAAGGGAACCCAGUAUUGAGGGGUGGUCUGUGCAGACAAACCAGAGCUGGGACCAAGGGACUGAACAUCCCCUGUAGUGACUUUUGCUCUAUUUUGAGACAAGGUGGGAGAAGGUUUGUCGAAGAAGGUGGAGGGUUGGGAGCUGUGAGGAGGACAGAGAAACCACUUCUGGCAGCCUAUCCCCACACUCACAAUAUGUUGUCCUGUAAGACAAAAUAAUCAAGCGAAAUGAGGUCGAUAUGAGGUCAGAGGUAGUGGAGGUGGGUAGUGGAGGUGCAGUGUUCAGUAGCUCAUUCUAUUAUUUCUUUUAGGAUCCUCUGAGUGCUUCGAAUAUUUUUCUAAUACAUAAGUACAUGAGCAGGAAAAGGAAGGGAUGAGCCUGCUUGGACUCCAUAUCAUUUCUCUGCACAGUGCCCCUCCCCAAGAGGGUGUGGCUAUCUGUGAUUGACCUUGUCACUCUCCAGCUCUCCCCUCCCUCCUCACUUGCUUGGGCUCGAUUUGCCUGUUAGUCUCUCCUCCAUCCCUGGCUGGCCCCACCCAUUCUUCCUGCCUGGGGACCGUGGUGGGACAUACCCCUGUGUCACAUGCCCUACAAUUGGAUACUGGGUCACUAACCAGGCCUACUCAGCCUUUCCCCAGGCGGUAGAUCAGGCUGUUCUGGUCCCAGCUCUUCGCCUCUUUCCCAGUACAAGGCAGAAACAGCCUUGUGAAGCCCUCCUCCCUUCCUAGUGUCUGGAGCUGGGGUUGGGGUAUUGGGAUCCUCUCACAUAGAGACCCAUGCUUUGUGGGUCCCACCACAUGCAGGAGAGGGGAACUUCUGUCAGGGUGGAUUGGAAGGAGGGGGUGGAAAACAGGCGUGUACCACCCACAGAAAAGUCCCAGGUCUGUCUUCUCAGCCUCUCAGAAGUCACAGGGCUGGCCUGGUUGGACUUGAGGAAGGACUGGAUAGCAGGGCUAACCCUUUACAUCCCCAUAACUCAGCUAUGGGCAGUAGGAACAGUUCCCUUGGAGUUGAGCUGUGCUGUUCCCCACUCUUCAUUGGGGAUGCAGAGCCCAGUGGCUGGUCUCCUGCUGGGAGUCUUUCUUUGGGCUUGGGAGCCAAGCCCUGCCACCCUUGUGUCUCCCAAGACCUCCAAACAGAUUGGUCCUUAGUGAGGCUUUGUGGAGCUGUUCUGCCUAGUGAGAGUCCUGGGACAUAACGUUCACCC
Molecule: long non-coding RNA, 4364 nt
Filed under: Mus musculus (house mouse)
Lineage: Eukaryota; Metazoa; Chordata; Mammalia; Rodentia; Muridae
Description: long non-coding RNA chr11:116955161-116959525
Source: RNAcentral